This 1435-nucleotide ribosomal RNA is filed under the name uncultured marine bacterium. RNAcentral describes it as "bacterial SSU rRNA". It matches the Rfam family "Bacterial small subunit ribosomal RNA". The record is from RNAcentral.
GAGUUUGAUCCUGGCUCAGAACGUACGCUGGCGGCACGCCUAACACAUGCAAGUCGAACGAAGUAGCAAUACUUAGUGGCAGACGGGUGAGUAACAUGUGGGUAUCUGCCCUUUGGCCUGGAAUAACACGAGGAAACUUGUGCUAAUACCGGAUAAGUCUUUACGGAGAAAGCUUUAUGCACCAUUGGAUGAGCCUGCACUUGAUUAGUUUGUUGGUGGGGUAAUGGCCUACCAAGACUGUGAUCAAUAGCUGAUUUGAGAGGAUGAUCAGCCACAUUGGGACUGAGACACGGCCCAAACUCCUACGGGAGGCAGCAGUGGGGAAUCUUGCACAAUGGAGGAAACUCUGAUGCAGCGAUGCCGCGUGAGUGAAGAAGGCCCUUGGGUUGUAAAGCUCUUUCGUCGGGGAAGAAAAUGACUGUACCCGAAUAAGAAGGUCCGGCUAACUUCGUGCCAGCAGCCGCGGUAAUACGAAGGGACCUAGCGUAGUUCGGAAUUACUGGGCUUAAAGAGCUCGUAGGUGGUUGAAAAAGUUAGUGGUGAAAUCCCAGAGCUUAACUCUGGAACUGCCAUUAAAACUUUUCAGCUAGAGUAUGAUAGAGGAAAGCAGAAUUUCUAGUGUAGAGGUGAAAUUCGUAGAUAUUAGAAAGAAUACCAAUUGCGAAGGCAGCUUUCUGGAUCAUUACUGACACUGAGGAACGAAAGCAUGGGUAGCGAAGAGGAUUAGAUACCCUCGUAGUCCAUGCCGUAAACGAUGUGUGUUAGACGUUGGAAAUUUAUUUUCAGUGUCGCAGCGAAAGCGAUAAACACACCGCCUGGGGAGUACGACCGCAAGGUUAAAACUCAAAUGAAUUGACGGGGACCCGCACAAGUAGUGGAGCAUGUGGUUUAAUUCGAAGAUACGCGCAGAACCUUACCAACACUUGACAUGUUCGUCGCGACUCUAAGAGAUUAGAGUUUUCGGUUCGGCCGGACGAAACACAGGUGCUGCAUGGCUGUCGUCAGCUCGUGUCGUGAGAUGUUGGGUUAAGUCCCGCAACGAGCGCAACCCUCACUUUUAGUUGCCAUCAUUAAGUUGGGCACUCUGAAAGAACUGCCAGUGAUAAGCUGGAGGAAGGUGGGGAUGACGUCAAGUCCUCAUGGCCCUUACGUGUUGGGCUACACACGUGCUACAAUGGUAUCUACAACAGGAAGCAAGACUGCGAAGUUAAGCAAAUCCCUAAAAGAUACCUCAGUUCGGAUUGCACUCUGCAACUCGAGUGCAUGAAGCUGGAAUUACUAGUAAUCGUGGAUCAGCGUGCCACGGUGAAUGCGUUCCCGGGUCUUGUACACACCGCCCGUCACACCAUGGGAGUUGGUUCUACCUUAAGGCAAGGUUUAAAACCCUUGACCACGGUAUAGUCAGCGACUGGGGUGAAGUCGUAACAAGGUAACC